UAUCUACAGGCUUAACACAUGCAAGUCGAGGGGCAGCAUGAACUUAGCUUGCUAAGUUUGAUGGCGACCGGCGCACGGGUGAGUAACACGUAUCCAACCUGCCGAUGACUCGGGGAUAGCCUUUCGAAAGAAAGAUUAAUACCCGAUGGCAUAGUUCUUCCGCAUGGUAGAACUAUUAAAGAAUUUCGGUCAUCGAUGGGGAUGCGUUCCAUUAGGUUGUUGGCGGGGUAACGGCCCACCAAGCCUUCGAUGGAUAGGGGUUCUGAGAGGAAGGUCCCCCACAUUGGAACUGAGACACGGUCCAAACUCCUACGGGAGGCAGCAGUGAGGAAUAUUGGUCAAUGGACGAGAGUCUGAACCAGCCAAGUAGCGUGAAGGAUGACUGCCCUAUGGGUUGUAAACUUCUUUUAUACGGGAAUAAAGUGAGGCACGCGUGCCUUUUUGUAUGUACCGUAUGAAUAAGGAUCGGCUAACUCCGUGCCAGCAGCCGCGGUAAUACGGAGGAUCCGAGCGUUAUCCGGAUUUAUUGGGUUUAAAGGGAGCGUAGGCGGACGCUUAAGUCAGUUGUGAAAGUUUGCGGCUCAACCGUAAAAUUGCAGUUGAUACUGGGUGUCUUGAGUACAGUAGAGGCAGGCGGAAUUCGUGGUGUAGCGGUGAAAUGCUUAGAUAUCACGAAGAACUCCGAUUGCGAAGGCAGCCUGCUGGACUGUAACUGACGCUGAUGCUCGAAAGUGUGGGUAUCAAACAGGAUUAGAUACCCUGGUAGUCCACACAGUAAACGAUGAAUACUCGCUGUUUGCGAUAUACAGUAAGCGACCAAGCGAAAGCGUUAAGUAUUCCACCUGGGGAGUACGCCGGCAACGGUGAAACUCAAAGGAAUUGACGGGGGCCCGCACAAGCGGAGGAACAUGUGGUUUAAUUCGAUGAUACGCGAGGAACCUUACCCGGGCUUGAAUUGCAACUGAAUGAUGUGGAGACAUGUCAGCCGCAAGGCAGUUGUGAAGGUGCUGCAUGGUUGUCGUCAGCUCGUGCCGUGAGGUGUCGGCUUAAGUGCCAUAACGAGCGCAACCCUUAUCGAUAGUUUCCAUCAGGUUAUGCUGGGGACUCUGUCGAGACUGCCGUGGUAAGAUGUGAGGAAGGUGGGGAUGACGUCAAAUCAGCUCGUCCCUUACGUCCGGGGCUUCACAGGUGUUACAAUGGGGGGU
This 1205-nucleotide ribosomal RNA is filed under the name uncultured organism. Its description in RNAcentral is "SSU rRNA". It matches the Rfam family "Bacterial small subunit ribosomal RNA", at positions 37 to 1238 of the family's 1533-position model. The record is from RNAcentral.